This 698-nucleotide ribosomal RNA is filed under the name uncultured bacterium. RNAcentral's name for it is "bacterial SSU rRNA". It matches the Rfam family "Bacterial small subunit ribosomal RNA", at positions 60 to 748 of the family's 1533-position model. The record is from RNAcentral.
AGUCGACGGUAACAGGAAGAAGCUUGCUUCUUUGCUGACGAGUGGCGGACGGGUGAGUAAUGUCUGGGAAACUGCCUGAUGGAGGGGGAUAACUACUGGAAACGGUAGCUAAUACCACAUAACGUCGCAAGACCAAAGAGGGGGACCUUCGGGCCUCUUGCCAUCGGAUGUGCCCAGAUGGGAUUAGCUAGUAGGUGGGGUAACGGCUCACCUAGGCGACGAUCCCUAGCUGGUCUGAGAGGAUGACCAGCCACACUGGAACUGAGACACGGUCCAGACUCCUACGGGAGGCAGCAGUGGGGAAUAUUGCACAAUGGGCGCAAGCCUGAUGCAGCCAUGCCGCGUGUAUGAAGAAGGCCUUCGGGUUGUAAAGUACUUUCAGCGGGGAGGAAGGGAGUAAAGUUAAUACCUUUGCUCAUUGACGUUACCCGCAGAAGAAGCACCGGCUAACUCCGUGCCAGCAGCCGCGGUAAUACGGAGGGUGCAAGCGUUAAUCGGAAUUACUGGGCGUAAAGCGCACGCAGGCGGUUUGUUAAGUCAGAUGUGAAAUCCCCGGGCUCAACCUGGGAACUGCAUCUGAUACUGGCAAGCUUGAGUCUCGUAGAGGGGGGUAGAAUUCCAGGUGUAGCGGUGAAAUGCGUAGAGAUCUGGAGGAAUACCGGUGGCGAAGGCGGCCCCCUGGACGAAGACUGACGCUC